Long non-coding RNA from Belonocnema kinseyi, 746 nucleotides. RefSeq lists it as uncharacterized. The transcript has 5 exons. The record is from RefSeq and is a predicted model, not a curated record. Lineage: Eukaryota; Metazoa; Arthropoda; Insecta; Hymenoptera; Cynipidae.
UAGUUUGUGGAAAGAUUUGGAGUUUUUGAGUGAAGUGAAAUCAAGUGCGGUUGAUCUUUUUUUAAACAAAAAUCAGAAGGCAGCAGUAGCGGAAGGAAAAUUCUUAAAAGAAUACUUUGAAGGUCAUUGAUCCGGAAGUUGCUGCAAUUUUGAAAGAUAAUUUGAGAGCUUUACCUUUACUACCCGCGAUUUUACCCAAUACUAAUUUCUCAGCGGGAAAAGGUCAGCUGACGACAUCAGACAAGGGAAGAAUGGAAAAAAGGGAAAAGGAAAUAGUGGUGCGGAAGUUCGAAAGGAGUGUUACAGGUCAUUGUCAACAUCGGCGGAAUAAUCGAAAAUCCCCGACAAUUGUCUUUUGUGGAUUUUGGCGCUCGGAACCAAUAUAGACGAUUAUGUGGCGGAUGUUCGCAAAGAUGCUUCGACGAACGUCCAGCCGUACAUAAUCCUUAUCAAAGGUGACACCAAGGACCGACUCUUCAUACAAGUUGACGGAUGUCACAUCCAAAUUAGUGAUCGCGCAAGCUCAAUAACUGCGUUUGAUUUGCUGUAUAAAUUGCAUUACGUCCUAAACGUGCAUUUUGCUUCUUCUCUAACGUUUUUUUAUAAUUUUAUGGAAGUUUAUCUUUAUAAAACCUCAAAAUCGGCAAAGAACUCAGUGAGGUCCUUAGAAACAGCAUUAAGAAACUUCAAAUCAGCUUCCACUGAACUUUCGGACAGUCUUUAGUUUAUUUUUUUUUCUCUAAAUA